This 468-nucleotide ribosomal RNA is filed under the name uncultured bacterium. RNAcentral's name for it is "partial 16S ribosomal RNA". It matches the Rfam family "Bacterial small subunit ribosomal RNA", at positions 28 to 507 of the family's 1533-position model. The record is from RNAcentral.
GACGAACGCUGGCGGCGUGCUUAACACAUGCAAGUCGAACGGUAAAGCCCUGCUUUUGUUGGGUGCUCGAGUGGCGAACGGGUGAGUAACACGUGAGUAACCUGCCCUUGACUUUGGGGUAACUUCAGUAGACUGGGUCUCAUACCCGAUAUGAGCUCCUGCUGCAUGUUUGGUGUUGUAAAGAUUCGGCGGUUGGGCAUGACCUCGCGGCCUAUCAGCGUGUUGGUGGGGUAGUGGCUUACCAGGGCUUUGAGGGGUCGCCGGACUGGGAGGGUGACAGGCCACAUUGGGACUGAGAUACGGGCAAGACGGCUACGGGAGGAAGCAGUGGGGCACAGUGCACAAUGGGCGGAAGGCUGAUGGAGGAACGCCGCGUGCGGGAGGACGGCCGUCGGGUUGUAAACCGUUUGCGCCUGUGACGAAGAGUGAGUGACGGUAAUGGGUAAAGAAGCAACGGCUAACUACGUG